This 7136-nucleotide long non-coding RNA is filed under the name Daucus carota (carrot). Its description in RNAcentral is "long non-coding RNA (DCAR_LNC007109)". Lineage: Eukaryota; Viridiplantae; Streptophyta; Magnoliopsida; Apiales; Apiaceae. The record is from RNAcentral.
CAAGAUAUAAGAGGAUUCAACCUGAGUUCAUGAGUUGAUGGUAUUGUAUAGAAUGAUUCACAAUACCUUGCAGCAUUUAAACUGAGAAAUUCAAUCUUUCCAAAGAAUUAUUGAAUUGGACUAUCACAUUUUAAUUAAAACCAAGGUUAGGCAGCUGAUCAGUUCCGCACUAACCCCGAGCAGGCCCCGCCAUGCUCUAUCACUGGAUCCAAGGCACUCAUUGGCCUAAAAUGACCACGAAUCUGGUCCACAGGUUUAUAUAAAAACAAUAAUCCAAUUCUCUAAUUCAAUUCAAGAAGCCAAUGUAAAUUAACAGAACAUCAUCAUAAAUAUCAUCAACAACAGAAAAAUUUUCAAUUCAUCUUUUCAUAAACAACGACCCAUCUUUUCAUAAAUCAUAGUUCAGGAAAUCCUUAACUAUUCAGUAUCCUCCAUUAUCGGCUAAGCAACUGAAUUUAGCCUGCUAAACCAGCAUGACAAUGGCGGGUUGAAUAAUCAAGAAGAUCCCAAGUCAUUCUAGGUUCUAACCAUCACUGAGCAACACAUGCUUCAAUGACAAUCUGAACUUCGAAUUAAUUUGUAAAAUGGAAUUAUCUGAAUUUUUGAAGAUUAGAACAAGAUGGAUAAAAUAUUUACACUUUCAAAUAUGAAAAAGAGAGGAACGAAUAUUUGCAACACAUACGAAAAGAAUGGAUCAGAAUAAUUGCAAGAUAUCCAAAAGAAGGGUAUAGGAUACUUGCCUUAAAUCUGACUCCAGUCUCACAUCUCAAUCUCAUCUUUCCACUUUCACAAUCUAUGCAUCUCAUAGUCUCUAGACCAUCUCUGGCUAUACUCUAUCUACCGUACAUCUUCGCUUCGCUUACUCGAUUCAUCCCUUAUUCGCUUUGUAACACCACGUGACUUUCUGAACGUCUUCGGGCAUACACGUCUCGUCCAAAUCCUUUACGAGAAUAAGAUAACACUAUAAUCACUAAACAAUCGAUCGCAUAUACAUCUCACGUAUAUCAAUACCCACUUAUAUAUCCCUUUAAACUUAUCAGAUACCACGUAACACAUAAGCAUGCUUUAACUCUAACAUAUAGUCAAUCAUAUUCCACAUAACAUAUCACCAAUCAAUUAUCAUAUAAAUCCUUAUCGAAAAUCCGACAUCGUCUCGUCUAUGUAUAAGACUAUCCACCUAUUAUCUUAUCCCAAUCAUUAAUCAACCAACAAAAUCCAAUAGCUAUAAUCCAUAUAUUCUUAUCCAAUAUCAAUCAUACGAAUCAUUUAUCACUUCACAAUAUCAAAACUAACACGUACUUCACAUAAUCAUCACCUGAUAGCACUUAGAUAACAUAUUAUCACAUUAUGCAUACUUAUCAACAAUUAUUCACCUUAUAGACUCAGCCAUAUAGUCACAUCAUAUUAAAAUAGACGUUAUAAGCUUCUGUCUCUCUUUCGUUUCACUUGAUUCCGACUUACGGAUCAAAAGUUAUGCUCAAAACAGUUUUCUCACUCUCCUAUCGGCACAUAACACAUCCAACCAAUAGCAGACAACACACAACACAUAAGGUUUCCCAUCCCAAUUGAUAUUAAAUCAAGUCUUGGGUUAAAAAUGAUUUUUCGGGAAUUUUCUGGAAUUUUUAAACAUUUUUCGGAAUUAAAAUCGAUAAAAGAAUCACUUUUCGGAUAAAUAAUCAAGUCCCAAAUACUUGAAAUUGGACUUGAAAUCAUUCAUAAACAAUUAUCGAGCCUUGAAAAUAAUUUGGAAAAAUAUUUUAAAGCUCGAAACUAUUUUUCGGAAUUUUUAAAUCAAAAAGGAUUAAUUAAAUCCAAUUAAUUAAUCAAUUAAAAUCAAUUAAUAAUUAAUUAAAAUAAUUAAUCAAUUAAUAUUUAAAUUAAUUGACCAAUUAAAAUAAUUAAUUACUAAUUAAAAUUAAUUAACAAACUAAUUUAGAUUUAUUUUUGAAUAAAAGAAUUAUUAAAAACUAUUUUUGAAAUUAAAAUAAUUAAAUAAAACAAUUUUAGAAAAUUAAACCAGAAAGGUUUGUUUUGUAAACUUUCAAAACUUUGUCGCAAGGUUUAAACUGCAAUUUUUCAAAGUUACAGGGGUUGAAUCGUUAAAACCGAAACUAUAGUACCCAAUCUUCAUCAUCUUCAAAAGAUGGGUGACCAAACGGCAAUUUGCCGCCGGCCACCACUGGUUUCGCCGGAAUCGGCGUUACAGACCUUUGUUCGCCACCAACUUGUCCAGAUCACCUCUCUAGCCCGCCAGGAAUCUUACCAUGCCCAUGAAUCAGCCAGAAUCCAAGCCGUUUGGCCGGAUUUUUGGCGACAAAAUCGCGCCGCCGCCAUUCUUUUUCAGAACCCGACGAGAUAUUCACAGCCCCAACACCACAUAUAAUCAUAUACACAUAUUCUACUCAUCACCAGGAACGUUUUUAUAGCUUUAACGUCUACCCAAGUUAAGCCGAAGUGAUUCUCCGGCAAGAAUUCAAAGUUUUCCGGCCAAUACUCAAGAACACUCAAGAACAUCCUUUCAAGAAUCAAACAACAUUUUCUAUAUGUUUCCGAACUCGAAAUUCAACAUAUAAUAUACCAAAACGACGAGAAAAACACGUACUACAACAUGGAAUCAUCAAAACAACCAAACAAUCACGUUUGCAAAAAUUCAUAAUUAAAAUCAUAAUAAUUCGAAUUUUGUAAAAAUCAUGUAAAAUCACCUGAUGAAUCUGCAGCGUUAUAGUUGAUUAUACUAUAUUCUACGCGUCGAGAGCUUCGUUUUGACUAUUCAUACGCCUCCAUCGGAUUCCAAUAACACCUUCAAAACCUUGUUUGAUUACGAAGAACACGAAGAACAAAGUUUGGUUUCUCUCGGUAUUCGUGCAGAGAAACUGGUGAAAAUGAUUUUACGGGUGAAAAUAAGCUCUAGAAAGGUCUAUUUAUAUUUACAAAUAAUUGGUACCCCUUUGGAUCGUUUAUGACAUGAAAGUACGUAUUUAGUAGCUUUAUAUUAAUAAAGCAGGGUCCAAUCGGUACUGGUUUUCAAGAUAAUCAUCAAAACGGGGCUUUUUAAUCAGUCAUUAGUAUGCGGGUCCCACUGCAAUUAUUACAAGAUAAGGAUGAAUCAAAAUAUCUAGUUUCACGUUUAUCGAGACAACCAGAUAAUUAUCAACAAUUAAAAUACCCGAAAAACUCCGCCGGACCGACUACGGGGAAAACCGUACUCCGGAUCGAAAAAGUCAAAACACGAAAAAUGUCCGGAAUAUUCAAAUUAGGCUAAAGGUGAGUUUUCUCGAAACUUUCGGAAAUAAAAUCGUUGCUCCGUCACGAGUGGACGGUUUCCAAAAAGAUCAAAUAAUUAAUAAAUAAAUACAAAUAUACGCAAUUAAAUCUGUAAAUCGAUUAUAAAAUCAUCUAACAUUCCAUAAAUCGAUACAAAAUAUCCAAAUAAACUACAUUUUAUCCUGAUCAUAUAGAAAUUGAAAUAUCUCAAAUCCGAGCACAUAUGAGCGGUCAAUUAAAUAAACCAGAUAGUACAAUAUUCACAAAAAUUCAUGUAUUAAUCAUAUAAUAUCCGUUAUUAACCACAAUUAAUUAACAAUCAAUUCCACCAACACCACUUAAUCACAUAACACGUAUAUUCACAGAAUAUUCAUACAGAAUUUUCAAAACAAUAUUUGAAAAUCAGUUUUGAAAAUACCAUUAUUUAUAAAUAACACAAUAACCCGGGGUUUAAAUAUAAAACUUUGAAAACUCAUUAAACUGGAAUAAAAUAUUAAAUCUUAUUCCUUUCUUUUUUUUAAGAAAAUCAUUUAUAAUAUUAAUAAAAAUAUUUAAAAGUCCGGGUCACUACAAUCUACCCUCCUUAUAGGGAUUCCGUCCUCGGAAUCAGAGAAAGAAGGAGGACGCAGAAUCUGUAAAAUCCAUAUUAAUCCACAUAACAAGUAUAAUCAUAUAAAACUAUUCACAUAAUCAAUUCACUUUUCAACUAAAGCCAGCAAUAAUAUCUAGACAAAUAAAUUUAUAAUAAUCAAAUCUGAAUUUAAAAAUAUGGGAUAUUACAUUCUACCGCCCUUAUAAGGAUUCCGUCCUCGGAAUCCCCCGAAGAAAACUAAAACGUACACGCUUCGUAAUAUCAUAUCGUCAUCCACCUUUUGAUCAACCUUUGCAUACCUUCAACUUUAAAGAAAUAGGAGAAUCAAACUUUCACAAUUACCAAAUUCGUUUCCCAAGAAUCAAUCUUUGGGAAUUUUGGAGGAACGAGAUGUUUUCAAGAUAGGUCACAUUGGAAUAUAAAAGUGACUGGGAGAUCAAUAAGAUCAAUUGAACUUAAUGUUGCGUGUCCAUAUUAGACACUACUAAAGGUUGUUAACCUUCUUGUAAUCACAACACACACAAGUGAUGGCGUCCCAUCCAACUCCUAUCACACAGACAGGUAUACCUUGUGUCCCCUAUACAUAGGGUUGUUCAUCCCAAUCAGAUGGAAAGAAUCCAAGAAAUCUCAAGGAGCAUCAAAGAAUGUUAAGGAUUAUCGAGGAAUAUAUUAAGGAACAUCAAAAGAUAUCAACGAAUAUCCAAGAAUGUCAAAGAAUAUCAACGAAUAUUAAGGGAUAUCAAAGAAUAUGGAAGAAUAUCAAGGGGUAUCAAAUAAUAUCAAGGAAUUCCAAUGUCUCUUCAUAAACACGCCUUUAUCAUACACCGAUUCAAUACUAACUCACACCAAUAAUCAAUAUCAUUAUCAUCUUAGAAUUUGAGAAAUUAAAGAUCUCAUUUAUCAAAACUUUUGUAGAAAAGAUAUCAUGAUAAUAUCUCACUGAUGAGAAAACAAUCAAAAGAAUCUUUAGUUGAAGAGAGGUAUUGCCAAGGUCUUCUCAGAUUUUCGCUCUGCUUCAAUAAAUCAUUGUUCGAUAUAUAUCUUCUUUUCAACGUUCUCGAUAAUCGAUCGAUGUUGACUCGUAAUAACCUUGUAAAAUUUCAUCGUCGACAUUAUCGUUCGUAAUAACUCUCGCCCAUGUAGUCUUCGUUUUUUUUCUAUUUCAUUCCAUCUGCCUUUGAAGUCCAUAGCACAACACGUAGCAUAUCUUCGAUUAUCUGGAUCAUCAACCUGUGGGUUAUGGGCCCACCUUGAUGCCAGUUGAAAUCCCGAUUAGCUCAAAGCGUUGUCGUCGAGGACUAACGUUCUAACUUACUCGUAGACAUCAUCUCUAAUAAUUGGACUCAAUUCCACAUAUUCUCUAUCAUUCACUUCUCACCUAUCAACCUCUAUCUACCAAUCUCUCCUUCUAAUCCAAUACAACUCAUACUCUACACUUACUCUUCAUAUCUUCACUCAAAACAAUAUACAUCUUCCAAAUAUCUGACAUGGUCAACAUACUAUGAACCAUGCAUUUAUAUCAUCCUCAAAUCAAUACAAUAAUCCAAUUUCAAAUAUGCAGUAUAGUCAGAAUACUCUGAACUCUGCAUUUUCACCAUUCUCAACUCAAUCAUUCACUAUCAAACUCUUCUAUAUAGGUCUAAUACUGACCUUUUCCACAAUUCACCAUCUCAAUUAAUCAACAUACUAGAAAUCAUAUGUCUAAACUUAAGAAUCCUAAUCUCUUUAAAUACCCACACUUAACUUGAUCAUCUAACUAAACUCUAUGCUUCACUCACAUCUCUAGACUAUUCCUAAAUAGUCCGACCAUACCUCUAUGUGAGGUUACACCACCUUCUUCUCUAGAAAACCUAUAACUAUAAUCUAUAUUCUAAUUUCAAAUACUUAUAACCUGUUGCUCUGAUACCAACUGUGACAGUCCAGGAAUCCGGGGGCCUGGAUUCUGACGUCACCACAUAAAACCCAUUUUUAAACACUUUUGAAAACCUGUAUUUAUUUAUUUAUUUAUUUAUUUAUUUUUUAAAAGAUAAUGAAUCCAAAUAAUUUAAAACUUGAAAACAUUUAAUAAAAGAUUUGAAAGAGAACACAAAUCAAAUGAUUUCAAAACCUGAAUUUCAAACUUGAAAGCCAUAAUAAGAGAAUUUCAAGAGAACAUUUAAACUUUAAUAAAUGAUUCGAAAGAGAACAUUUAAACCCCCUAAAACAACAGGAUCGCAUCCAGGUUACAGUAUUGAAAUUAGAAUCAACCACUAUUAUUACACAACAUCUCUUACCAAAUCAGAUCAUCUUCGAUAAGAAGAAUCACUGUCAACUAUUCCAGCUUGCACCAACCUCAUCAACUUUCCUGAACACUCCUCGACCACUGGAUCCUCAACUCUGUCUCCUCGCCUAGCAUUAGCCUUACUCACAAUCUCAAUCAAUCAUCUCAUCUUUAAGCCUUUCUGAAAUGGUUAGAAAGGAAUAGCAAGGGUGAGCAACAAUGCUCAGCAAGUAAUAAUAAACAAUGAUAGUUCUGAAAUGAUAUAAUAGAAGUUCACGAGUUCAAGAUAUAAGAGGAUUCAACCUGAGUUCAUGAGUUCAUGGUAUUGUAUAGAAUGAUUUACAAUACCUUGCAGCAUUUAAACUGAGAAAUUCAAUCUUUCCAAAGAAUUAUUGAAUUGGACUAUCACAUUUUAAUUAAAACCAAGGUUAGGCAGCUGAUCAGUUCCGCACUAACCCCGAGCAGGCCCCGCCAUGCUCUAUCACUGGAUCCAAGGCACUCAUUGGCCUAACAUGACCACGAAUCUGGUCCACAGGUUUAUAUAAAAACAAUAAUCCAAUUCUCUAAUUCAAUUCAAGAAGCCAAUGUAAAUUAACAGAACAUCAUCAUAAAUAUCAUCAACAACAGAAUAAUUCCAAUUCAAACUUUGAUAAUAAUCUAUUCAUAAAUCAUGAUCCAUCAUUUCAUAAAUCACAGUUCAGGAAAUCCUCAACUAUUCAGUAUCCUCCAUUAUCGGCUAAGCAACUGAAUUUAGCCUGCUAAACCAGCAUGACAAUGGCGGGUUGAAUAAUCAAGAAGAUCCCAAUUCAUUCAAAGCUCUAACUAUCACUGAGCAACACAUGCUUCAAUGACAAUCUGAACUUCGAAUUAAUUUGUAAAACGGAAAUUCUUUAGAAACUUGAAGAUUAGAAAGAAUGGGUCAGAAUACUCGCACUUUCGAACAUUGAAAAGAAAGGUAUGAAUACUUGAAACAUAUACCAAAGGAAUGGAUCAGAAUAUUUGCAAUAUAUCCAAGAGAAA